Molecule: ribosomal RNA, 407 nt
Filed under: uncultured bacterium
Lineage: Bacteria
Description: partial 16S ribosomal RNA
Rfam family: Bacterial small subunit ribosomal RNA
Source: RNAcentral
AUUGAACGCUGGCGGCAGGCCUAACACAUGCAAGUCGAGCGGUGCGGCGGACGGGCGAGUAAUGCCUAGGUAUCUGCCUGGUUGUGGGGGAUAACGUCCGGACACGGGAGCUAAUAUCGCAUACUAUCAGAUGAGCCUAGGUUGGAUUAGCUAGUUGGUGGGGUAAUGGCUUACCAAGGCGACGAUCCGUAACUGGGCUGAGAGGAUGAUCAGUCACACUGGAACUGAGACACGGUCCAGACUCCUACGGGAGGCAGCAGUGGGGAAUAUUGGACAAUGGGCGAAAGCCUGAUGCAGCCAUGCCGCGUGUGUGAAGAAGGUCUUCGGAUUGUAAAGCACUUUAAGUUGGGAGGCGUUACCAACAGAAUAAGCACCGGCUAACUUCGUGCCAGCAGCCGCGGUAAUUC